UACGUAGGAGGCAAGCGUUGUCCGGAAUCACUGGGCGUAAAGCGCGUGUAGGUGGUGCGACAAGUCUGCUGUGAAAGCGCCUGGCUUAACCGGGCGAGGUCGGCGGAAACUGACGUACUGGAGGCCGGUAGAGGGGGGUGGAAUUCCCGGUGUAGUGGUGAAAUGCGUAGAGAUCGGGAGGAACACCAGUGGCGAAGGCGGCCCCUGGGCCGGGCCUGACACUGAGACGCGAAGGCGUGGGGAGCGAACGGG
Molecule: ribosomal RNA, 252 nt
Filed under: uncultured bacterium
Lineage: Bacteria
Description: partial 16S ribosomal RNA
Rfam family: Bacterial small subunit ribosomal RNA
Source: RNAcentral